This is a non-coding RNA of Bactrocera oleae (olive fruit fly), 737 nucleotides long. The record is from RefSeq and is a predicted model, not a curated record. NCBI's taxonomy places the organism in Eukaryota, Metazoa, Arthropoda, Insecta, Diptera, Tephritidae.
AACAAAGUGGGUUACAGCAGAAGCAAGAACGUAUAAUUACGAUUAGGCAAGGUCGGAAAUGCCGUUAAUAAAUUUUUAAUACUAUUUCAAGUAAAUUAUAAGUUUGGGACAAAAAUAUUCGUUUGAUUUUUUUACGCUACUAAUUAUCCCUAUGGUGUAGACGGAGUAAUAAUACGUCAACAGUUGUGGACUUUUCGUCUUUUGUAAUAAACGAAAAAGAAAUAGUAACAAUAGUUAUUCUUGAUUAAUUAUUGAAAAAUUGCUUUUGUAUCGGAUACGUACUCCAUUCUGGAAAAAAAGUAGAUUAGCUCAGUUUCACCGAAAGUGGAUUAGAUCAAACUUAUACUUGUACGUACACAUAAAUUAUUGCGCUUAUUGUUAUAAGUUUCGGAAUUUGGUUUGUUUAUAUCGCUUUUGUUAUUUUAACACGUGGGACUGCAAUACGUGAACGUAUUACGGAAGCAAGCGAUUAGUACAAUGUUUUAAUAUAGGUAUAUAAAGACAAAAAUUGUCACGUUUCAAUUAAAACACAUGAACCUAACCUAACUAAAAAUUGGCAUCGCUUGCCUUGACCACAUGUAUAAUAUAAUAUGUGUAUCCGGAUGUACAAUACAUAAAUAUAAAUUUUAAGCGAAAGGACAUGGAAAAAGGAAACGAAACAAGAUGACGAUAAGAAUGUCAUGGUGGUAAAAAAAAUAAAUUACAGAGAAGUUUACUCAUCGCAAACAAAAAGAAAA